This 468-nucleotide ribosomal RNA is filed under the name uncultured bacterium. RNAcentral describes it as "partial 16S ribosomal RNA". It matches the Rfam family "Bacterial small subunit ribosomal RNA", at positions 28 to 507 of the family's 1533-position model. The record is from RNAcentral.
GACGAACGCUGGCGGCGUGCUUAACACAUGCAAGUCGAACGGAAAGGCCCUGCUUUUUUGGGGUGCUCGAGUGGCGAACGGGUGAGUAACACGUGAGUAACCUGCCCUUGACUUUGGGAUAACUUCAGGAAACUGGGGCUAAUACCGGAUAGGAGCUCCUGCUGCAUGGUGGGGGUUGGAAAGUUUCGGCGGUUGGGGAUGGACUCGCGGCUUAUCAGAUUGUUGGUGGGGUAGUGGCUUACCAAGGCUUUGACGGGUAGCCGGCCUGAGAGGGUGACCGGCCACAUUGGGACUGAGAUGCGGCCCAGACUCCUACGGGAGGCAGCAGUGGAGAAUAUUGCACAAUGGGCGGAAGCCUGAUGCAGCAACGCCGCGUGCGGGAUGACGGCCUUCGGGUUGUAAACCGCUUUCGCCUGUGACGAAGCGUGAGUGACGGUAAUGGGUAAAGAAGCACCGGCUAACUACGUG